Molecule: non-coding RNA, 242 nt
Organism: Castor canadensis (American beaver)
Lineage: Eukaryota; Metazoa; Chordata; Mammalia; Rodentia; Castoridae
Source: RefSeq, a predicted model, not a curated record
CCGUACUCGGGGCUCCGGACCGGCUGCCAUCUUAGUCGAGGGAGUGAGGAGUCGCCACCGCCCCGAGUCCCGGUAACAUGCAUUUCACAGUGGCCUUCUGGAGACAACGCCUUAACCCAAAGAAGUGACUCCAUUGGUUUGCUGUACUAUUGGUGGUAUGUCUGACAGUGGAUCACAACUUGUUUCAAUGGGUAGCCUGACCAUGAAAUCACAACUUCAGAUCACUGGUAAGUCAUAAAAAG